Molecule: ribosomal RNA, 324 nt
Filed under: uncultured eukaryote
Lineage: Eukaryota
Description: partial 18S ribosomal RNA
Rfam family: Eukaryotic small subunit ribosomal RNA
Source: RNAcentral
CCCUUAGAUGCUCUGGGCCGCACGCGCGCUACACUGAUGCAUUCAACGAGCACACGCUUGGCCGAGAGGUCAGGCUAAUCUUUGAACGUGCAUCGUGCUGGGGAUAGAUGAUUGCAAUUAUUCAUCUUCAACGAGGAAUUCCUAGUAAACGCAAGUCAUCAGCUUGCAUUGAUUACGUCCCUGCCCUUUGUACACACCGCCCGUCGCACCUACCGAUUGAAUGGUCCGGUGAAAUUCUCGGACGCGAACGACAGAUGUUCAUUCGGAUGUUGUUUGUGAAAGUUAAUUAAACCUUACCAUUUAGAGGAAGGUGAAGUCGUANCA